Coturnix japonica (Japanese quail) is the source of this 398-nucleotide long non-coding RNA. RefSeq lists it as uncharacterized. NCBI's taxonomy places the organism in Eukaryota, Metazoa, Chordata, Aves, Galliformes, Phasianidae. The record is from RefSeq and is a predicted model, not a curated record.
UUUGCUGUGACAUCAUAGUGGGAGGUGGAGACACCUCGAGGAGAAGGUCGAAACAAACAACAGCAAUUGCAGGCAGCAAUGACUGGAGAAAAUCCUGCCUCAAUGAUAGGUUUGUGUGAUCUCUGUGUGCCAUCUUCAGUACGUACAGGAGGUGCGACGUCCCCUUCAUCCACUUGACUCAGAGGAAAAGAAGUUGGAAACUGAGGAUAUGGAACAUCACCCUGCAGUACAAACAAGCCUCAAACCCUGAAUGCGACUUUUCUUUCUCAGUCUGGUAGUGAUGUUUCUGAUUCCCGAACUCCCUCUUAGAAGCUGACAAGCAACAGCAGCUCUCAGCUAAGACAGACUUGGGAAAUGACUAAUUAAACAGUGAUUGCAGGAUUGCUUCCUGACCUGGA